RNAcentral lists this ribosomal RNA (486 nucleotides) under uncultured bacterium. RNAcentral describes it as "partial 16S ribosomal RNA". It matches the Rfam family "Bacterial small subunit ribosomal RNA", at positions 30 to 507 of the family's 1533-position model. The record is from RNAcentral.
AUUGAACGCUGGCGGCAUGCCUUACACAUGCAAGUCGAACGGCAGCACGGGUGCUUGCCCCUGGUGGCGAGUGGCGAACGGGUGAGUAAUACAUCGGGACAUGUCCUGUAGUGGGGGAUAGCCCGGCGAAAGCCGGAUUAAUACCGCAUACGAUCUACGGAUGAAAGCGGGGGACCUUCGGGCCUCGCGCUAUAGGGUUGGCCGAUGGCUGAUUAGCUAGUUGGUGGGGUAAAGGCCUACCAAGGCGACGAUCAGUAGCUGGUCUGAGAGGACGACCAGCCACACUGGGACUGAGACACGGCCCAGACUCCUACGGGAGGCAGCAGUGGGGAAUUUUGGACAAUGGGCGAAAGCCUGAUCCAGCAAUGCCGCGUGUGUGAAGAAGGCCUUCGGGUUGUAAAGCACUUUUGUCCGGAAAGAAAUCCUUGGCCCUAAUACGGUCGGGGGAUGACGGUACCGGAAGAAUAAGCACCGGCUAACUACGUG